This 305-nucleotide ribosomal RNA is filed under the name uncultured bacterium. RNAcentral's name for it is "bacterial SSU rRNA". It matches the Rfam family "Bacterial small subunit ribosomal RNA", at positions 337 to 659 of the family's 1533-position model. The record is from RNAcentral.
UCCUACGGGAGGCAGCAGUGGGGGAUAUUGCACAAUGGGGGCAACCCUGAUGCAGCGACGCCGCGUGAGCGAUGGAGUACUUCGGUAUGUAAAGCUCUGUCAGCAGGGAAGAGAAUGACGGUACCUGACCAAGAAGCCCCGGCUAAAUACGUGCCAGCAGCCGCGGUAAUACGUAUGGAGCAAGCGUUAUCCGGAAUUACUGGGUGUAAAGGGAGCGUAGGCGGCAAGGCAAGUCUGAUGUGAAAACCCAGGGCCCAACCCUGGGACUGCAUUGGAAACUGUAUUGCUUGAGUACCGGAGAGGCA